This 253-nucleotide ribosomal RNA is filed under the name uncultured bacterium. RNAcentral describes it as "partial 16S ribosomal RNA". It matches the Rfam family "Bacterial small subunit ribosomal RNA", at positions 524 to 776 of the family's 1533-position model. The record is from RNAcentral.
UACGGGGGGGGCAAGCGUUGUUCGGAAUUACUGGGCGUAAAGGGCUCGUAGGUGGCCAACUAAGUCAGACGUGAAAUCCCUCAGCUCAACUGAGGACGUGCAUCCGAAACUGCAAGGCUUGAGUACUGAAGAGGAUCGCGGAAUUCCCGGUGUAGAGGUGAAAUUCGUAGAUAUCGGGAGGAACACCAGUGGCGAAGGCGGCGAUCUGGGCAGAUACUGACGCUGAGGUGCGAAAGCGUGGGGAGCAAACAGG